AUGGGUCGGCAAAAAAUUUGGAGGGAUAGGAUCGAUACCCACGACAGAUUGAUCAGGCAUUAUUUUGCGGAGAAUCCCACAUACUCCAAGUCGUAUUUUCGUUGCCGGUUUAGGAUGAGCACCGAGUUAUUCAGGCGCAUUGCAGAGAAACUAGCGAGCCAUGACCGAUUUUUUCAACGAAGGAGGAAUGCUGCCGGAGAGCUCGGGCAUAGCACCUUUCAGAAGGUGACAGACGCUUUGCGUAUGUUGGCAUACGAUAUCCCGGCUGAUUUAGUUGAUGAUCACUUGGCUAUGGAUGGGCAUGGAAUGGACGAUAAAGAGCAUCAUGAUUUGUACGUUGUUGUGUUUAUUGCACUAUUUGUUGUAUUGAACGAUAAACUGUUUGUUUGA
RNAcentral lists this ribosomal RNA (390 nucleotides) under Triticum aestivum (bread wheat). RNAcentral's name for it is "partial small subunit ribosomal RNA". Lineage: Eukaryota; Viridiplantae; Streptophyta; Magnoliopsida; Poales; Poaceae. The record is from RNAcentral.